UAAGGGUCCCCCGUGCAUCAUAUGGGCAUUCUUGAGUGUGCAGAUUGCAUCAGACCUGCACCUGAAUAAUUAAUAGUGACUGAAAUAUGCAGACACUAAAGUUCUGCAGCCAAAUUCUCAGAAACCUUCCUCUUCAAUGUAAGAUCAGGAUUUUGGUUUAAAUUUAUUUUUAUUUAAAAAAAAUUGCUAAGCAGAUGCUACACUGUAAGAAGAGGAAAGAGAAUCAAAAACUGAAAGAUUGUUACUAAAACCAGUGAACAACUGCAGAGAGUGGAGACCCGGCAAAGCAAACAAAUGAAUACUGAAAAAGAUCCCCAAAGGAGAUGUAAGGAUCCGGAACUCUAAUGUCUGCCAGAAACUUCAGCCACCUUCACAGGCUAGGGCUCACCGUCCAUUGUGGAGGUGAAGACCAGAUGAGAGCUGCUGGAUUGACCUUGAUGUGCCAUGUCCUUGUGUGGAUGAAGGACCUACAUCUCAGGGAUGGCCAGCAGCAGAUGUAACACAUGUGUCCAGGAAUGGGCUAAAUAACCUA
This is a long non-coding RNA of Mauremys reevesii (Reeves's turtle), 532 nucleotides long. RefSeq lists it as uncharacterized. The record is from RefSeq and is a predicted model, not a curated record. Lineage: Eukaryota; Metazoa; Chordata; Testudines; Geoemydidae. The transcript is spliced from 3 exons.